CCUACGGGAGGCAGCAGUGAGGAAUAUUGGUCAAUGGACGAGAGUCUGAACCAGCCAAGUAGCGUGAAGGAUGACUGCCCUAUGGGUUGUAAACUUCUUUUAUAUAGGAAUAAAAUGAUGCACGUGUGCCUUUUUGUAUGUACUAUAUGAAUAAGGAUCGGCUAACUCCGUGCCAGCAGCCGCGGUAAUACGGAGGAUCCGAGCGUUAUCCGGAUUUAUUGGGUUUAAAGGGAGCGUAGGUGGGUUGUUAAGUCAGUUGUGAAAGUUUGCGGCUCAACCGUAAAAUUGCAAUUGAUACUGGCAGUCUUGAGUACAGUAGAGGUAGGCGGAAUUCGUGGUGUAGCGGUGAAAUGCUUAGAUAUCACGAAGAACCCCGAUUGCGAAGGCAGCUUACUAAACUGUAACUGACAUUGAGGCUCGAAAGUGUGGGUAUCAAACAGGAUUAGAUACCCCAGUAGUC
This 460-nucleotide ribosomal RNA is filed under the name uncultured bacterium. RNAcentral's name for it is "partial 16S ribosomal RNA". It matches the Rfam family "Bacterial small subunit ribosomal RNA", at positions 338 to 795 of the family's 1533-position model. The record is from RNAcentral.